AAAUGGCACCUAUGGGAGGGAGAUCGGCUCUCUUGUGGGCCCUGGAUUGUUGCUGCACACAGAGGACCCUGACAAAAGGAAACUAGCUAGAUUCAGCUGCUUUAAUUUUUAAAGAAAAAAAGGAGAAUGCUUGAUUUGAACAAGCAGCUCUGUAGCCCCCCCUUAAAUCCUUGUGCUUAUUUUGUACAGUUGGUUUCCAAGGAUCUGCGGUAAAAAUUUGAUCCCGGUGAGGGAAGUGAUGUCAUGUGAGCUGAAAAAGACUUAGAUUAAGACAUCAUUUUAAGACUGGAAAAGAAAUGGAGGCGGGAAGAAGGAGAGGAUGUGGCUUAGCGGUGAGGAGAGAAGAGGAUGUGUUAGGGGAGGGGCAUGUGACAUGUGAGGUCCCAGGAGACAGGAGGUCUGCUUGCGGAGGGAAGGGAAGGCUGUUUGUGCAGAGAGCAGGGCGGGGAAACCACUGUGGGGAACGGGGCAAUUACCACUCUGGGCAGAGGACUGCUGCAGCCAGGAAACCUGAGCUGAGAGCCACAGAGGCGCUGGUUUCAUUGUUGGUUUUAAUAGCUGGUGCACGGCUGUGCCCAUCUAAGGAUGCUCCAGGAGACCUGAGUCUGCUUGCAAUAAAGAAGAGAAAGUUAAAAAACACCAAAACAGAGGACAUGUGCUGUAGCAAGUUACAGGUGAGUCCACGGGGAUCUGCGAAGGCUGAAUUUAUGGGGGAGAGUGGGAAGAGGGAGAAGUCCAGCGAGAGUCCAGGCAGGAAGUUCACAAGCUUGAGGAUGGGAGAGAUUCUUAGCAAGUAUUCGUUGGUCCAGAGGUAA
RNAcentral lists this long non-coding RNA (815 nucleotides) under Capra hircus (goat). Its description in RNAcentral is "lncRNA (ENSCHIG00000002161.1)". The record is from RNAcentral. Lineage: Eukaryota; Metazoa; Chordata; Mammalia; Artiodactyla; Bovidae.